This 262-nucleotide ribosomal RNA is filed under the name uncultured archaeon. RNAcentral describes it as "partial 16S ribosomal RNA". It matches the Rfam family "Archaeal small subunit ribosomal RNA", at positions 748 to 1009 of the family's 1478-position model. The record is from RNAcentral.
CAGCCGUAAACUAUGCGCGUUAGGUGUACUGGUGACCACGAGUCACCGGGGUGCCGAAGGGAAACCGUGAAACGUGCCGCCUGGGAAGUACGGUCGCAAGGCUGAAACUUAAAGGAAUUGGCGGGGGGAGCACCACAACGGGUGGAGCCUGCGGUUUAAUUGGACUCAACGCCGGAAAUCUCACCGGAUAGGACAGACAUAUGAUAGUCGGGCUGAAGACUCUACUUGAUGAUCUGAGAGGAGGUGCAUGGCGUAGUCGUGU